This is a long non-coding RNA of Talpa occidentalis (Iberian mole), 941 nucleotides long. RefSeq lists it as uncharacterized. The record is from RefSeq and is a predicted model, not a curated record. Lineage: Eukaryota; Metazoa; Chordata; Mammalia; Eulipotyphla; Talpidae. The transcript is spliced from 4 exons.
CAUCGCUUCCCACCGUCCUUUCCAGGAAAUUCCAGCCCAUAACUCGCGGCCUUGGGAAUGUCUGCAUGGACUCUGGAGCCAGGCCCCUCUGGGCUGCAUCCCUAAUCAGUCCACUCUCUGCAGGAUCCCCGGCAGAUGUACUUCUCUAGGCCUCAGCUUCUCCACCUGCAGAGCGGGCUCACCUGAUGGCCAGCACCUGUGGCCUGUGGUGGCUCCCUGCGGCCCAGCGCGAGGGACGGCUUCCCCGGCUGCUCUCCGCCUGGGUGUGGAGAAGCUGGCAGACAAGCAGGUCAGUGGCGGCCUGGCCUGCAUAGGACCAGCCUUUCCAGUCCAGAGGCCUUGUGUCCUCCAAGAUGGGGGCGAAGUAGAACCAGCCUCCUACAGGAUGAGAAUUCCUGGCUAGUGCUUCACAGACCCGGCUCCAUCCAUCCUGUGGCUCUGGUGCAGUUACUCUGCUUGCUGUGUGGACAGGGACCGCAGUGGAUAAAUGUGUUUCGGGAAUCCCAUCCAGAAACUCGCAGGCGCCCUUCAGCCGACCAUCUGACCGUAGCUGAGGCCAGGUAGACGAGAGGUGACUUGCAGGAAAUUCGGUCACAUCUGCCAAGCACCUUUUUGUGCUUAGGGGGAAGCCGCCCUCACCACGGCAGGGGGUGGCGUGCAACCAGUGAUCCCUAUUGCGUUUUCAGUCUGUUGACAUAUUUUAAAUAAUAGGAAUGAUUCCAGGAAAACACGGCGAGUCAUAGAUGUCAUCGUCAGCCAUUCGUGAGGGCUGUGUUGACGAGCGAACGAGAUCAACAGAACAAAGCUGAGGGUCCGAGGGGCCGGAGCUGGUCUGCUUGGUGAUGCUAAGAACCACAUUUCUCAGAAUCUCUUCUUGACUGGUUCCAGGGAAGAAUUGCCAGAAGAGAAGUUCCGGCGCCUCCGCGAGCGCCGGGCACCCC